GUGAUGAUCUCUUCGCUGCGAGGAUAGAUGACCAUUCCGGCGGAGCUGA
This 49-nucleotide small nucleolar RNA is filed under the name Pyrobaculum arsenaticum DSM 13514. RNAcentral describes it as "PARsR01". Lineage: Archaea; Thermoproteati; Thermoproteota; Thermoprotei; Thermoproteales; Thermoproteaceae. The record is from RNAcentral. RNAcentral also lists the same sequence under 1 other name.